CUUGAGGGAGCCCAGCAUCAGGGGCUGACCACCGUCGCGUGCGCUGCCGUAGGUGGCGAGGAGGGCCUGCGCUUC
RNAcentral lists this non-coding RNA (75 nucleotides) under Streptomyces sp. CB02009. The record is from RNAcentral. Lineage: Bacteria; Bacillati; Actinomycetota; Actinomycetes; Kitasatosporales; Streptomycetaceae.